RNAcentral lists this ribosomal RNA (496 nucleotides) under uncultured bacterium. RNAcentral describes it as "partial 16S ribosomal RNA". It matches the Rfam family "Bacterial small subunit ribosomal RNA", at positions 29 to 507 of the family's 1533-position model. The record is from RNAcentral.
ACGCACGCUGGCGGCGUGCCUCAUACAUGCAAGUUGAGCGAUGAAGAUUGGUGCUUGCACCAAUUUGAAGAGCAGCGAACGGGUGAGUAACGCGUGGGGAAUCUGCCUUUGAGCGGGGGACAACAUUUGGAAACGAAUGCUAAUACCGCAUAACAACUUUAAACAUAAGUUUUAAGUUUGAAAGAUGCAAUUGCAUCACUCAAAGAUGAUCCCGCGUUGUAUUAGCUAGUUGGUGAGGUAAAGGCUCACCAAGGCGAUGAUACAUAGCCGACCUGAGAGGGGGAUCGGCCACAUUGGGACUGAGACACGGCCCAAACUCCUACGGGAGGCAGCAGUAGGGAAUCUUCGGCAAUGGACGAAAGUCUGACCGAGCAACGCCGCGUGAGUGAAGAAGGUUUUCGGAUCGUAAAACUCUGUUGGUAGAGAAGAACGUUGGUGAGAGUGGAAAGCUCAUCAAGUGACGGUAACUACCCAGAAAGGGACGGCUAACUACGUG